Molecule: ribosomal RNA, 501 nt
Filed under: uncultured bacterium
Lineage: Bacteria
Description: bacterial SSU rRNA
Rfam family: Bacterial small subunit ribosomal RNA
Source: RNAcentral
AAUCAACGCUGGCGGCGUGCCUCAGACAUGCAAGUCGAACGCGAAAUUUCCCUUCGGGGAGAAAGUAGAGUGGCGCACGGGUGAGUAACACGUAGGUAAUUUGCCUUUGGGUGGGGAAUAACUCAGGGAAACUUGAGCUAAUACCGCAUAAUGCAGCGGCUCGACAUCGAGACAGUUGUUAAAGCGGGGGAUUGGAGCAAUCCGACCUCGCGCCUAAAGAGAAGCCUGCGGCAGAUUAGCUAGUUGGUAAGGUAAUGGCUUACCAAGGCGACGAUCUGUAACCGGCCUGAGAGGGCGGUCGGUCACACUGACACUGACAUACGGGUCAGACUCCUACGGGAGGCAGCAGUCGGGAAUUUUGGGCAAUGGGCGCAAGCCUGACCCAGCAACGCCGCGUGAAGGAUGAAAUUUUCCGGAAUGUAAACUUCGCAAGAACAGGAAGAAUAAGUGUGGGACAAUACCCCACAUGAUGACGGUACUGUUUGUAAGCUCCGGCUAACU